ACACGAAAAUACUAAACCACCCGUGAGGGUGGGACGGAAAGCCUACAGGGUCUCAUCGAGACAGCCGGGAUGCCGAA
This is a regulatory RNA element of Geobacter sp. OR-1, 77 nucleotides long. It matches the Rfam family "c-di-GMP-I riboswitch aptamer". Rfam says of the family: GEMM was predicted in a large-scale screen for bacterial structured RNA regulatory elements. Genes associated with GEMM are involved in a diverse array of functions, including chemotaxis regulation, signal transduction, secretion and chitin. Lineage: Bacteria; Pseudomonadati; Thermodesulfobacteriota; Desulfuromonadia; Geobacterales; Geobacteraceae. The record is from Rfam.